GAACUAAUCCUAGCCCUCAACUCUUAAUAAUAUAACUAUUUCACACUAUAAAUUAAACCAUUUAAUCUCGUAAAAGUAUUGGAGAAAGAAAUUAUUUCAUAGGAGCUAUAGAGUAAGUACCGCAAGGGAAAGAUGAAAGAAUAAUUAAAAGUAACAAUAAGCAAAGAUAAAACCUUGUACCUUUUGCAUAAUGAGUUAACUAGAAUAAAUUUAACUAAAAGCAUUAAAGCUAAAUACCCCGAAACCAAACGAGCUACCUAAAAACAAUUUAAACGAAUCAACCCGUCUAUGUUGCAAAAUAGUGGGAAGAUUUUUAGGUAGAGGUGAAAAGCCUAACGAGCUUGGUGAUAGCUGGUUACCCAAAUAAUGAAUUUAAGUUCAACUUAAAAUUUACCAAAAGAACAUUUAAUCCUCAUGUAAAUUUUAAAUAUAGCCAAAAGAGGGACAGCUCUUUAGGAAAAGGAAAAAACCUUAAGUAGUGAAUAAACUCAAUAAAUAACCAAACCAUUGUAGGCCCAAAAGCAGCCACCAAUAAAGAAAGCGUUCAAGCUCAACAUUAGCAUUUAAAUAAUUUAACAAGUAAUAAUAAAUUCCUACAUUAAAAAUUGGGUUAAUCUAUUAAUGUAUAGAUGAGAUACUGUUAACAUGAGUAACAAGAAUUUUAUUCUCCAAGCACAAGCGUAUAACAACUCGGAUAACCAUUGUUAAUUAUCAACCUAUAGAUAAAAACUACAAAUUAAUAGAUCUAAAAACAACUUGUUAAUCCAACACAGGAGUGCUAUAAGGAAAGAUUAAAAAAAAUAAAAGGAACUCGGCAAACUAAAACCCCGCCUGUUUACCAAAAACAUCACCUCUAGCAUAUUAAGUAUUAGAGGCAUUGCCUGCCCAGUGACUAAAGUUUAACGGCCGCGGUAUCCUGACCGUGCAAAGGUAGCAUAAUCACUUGUUCCUUAAUUAGGGACUAGCAUGAACGGCUAGACGAGGGUUUGACUGUCUCUUAUUUUUGAUCAGUGAAAUUGACCUUUCAGUGAAGAGGCUGAAAUACUAUAAUAAGACGAGAAGACCCUAUGGAGCUUUAAUUUAUCAGUUUAAUCAUACUAAUAAAAUGACCUAAUGGAGUAACCACAAUGAUAUAAACUCAUAAUUUCGGUUGGGGUGACCUCGGAGAAAAGAAAAUCCUCCGAAUGAUUUUAACAUAGAUCCACAAAUCAAAGUAAGUAAUCUAUCUUAUUGACCCAAAAAUCUUUUUUGAUCAACGGACCAAGUUACCCUAGGGAUAACAGCGCAAUCCUAUUUAAGAGUUCAUAUCGACAAUUAGGGUUUACGACCUCGAUGUUGGAUCAGGACAUCCCAAUGGUGCAGAAGCUAUUAAUGGUUCGUUUGUUCAACGAUUAAAGUCCUACGUGAUCUGAGUUCAGACCGGAGUAAUCCAGGUCGGUUUCUAUCUAUUAACAAUUUCUCCCAGUACGAAAGGACAAGAGAAAUGGAGCCACCUUAUAAAUAAGCGCCCCCAACUUAAUAUAUGAAUUAAUCUAAAUAUAGUAAGUAUGUUAACUCUUUGCCUAGACAAGGCUAU
Molecule: ribosomal RNA, 1576 nt
Filed under: Apodemus agrarius (Eurasian field mouse)
Lineage: Eukaryota; Metazoa; Chordata; Mammalia; Rodentia; Muridae
Description: 16S ribosomal RNA
Rfam family: Bacterial large subunit ribosomal RNA
Source: RNAcentral